Molecule: long non-coding RNA, 5214 nt
Organism: Oreochromis aureus
Lineage: Eukaryota; Metazoa; Chordata; Actinopteri; Cichliformes; Cichlidae
Source: Ensembl
UGGACAUGCUCCUGUACAGACCUCUGAGGAGAACCAAGGUGCAGUCAAAGAGUCCAGUCUGUCCUCACAGAUGUGAACAUGUGGUUUCAUCAGGUCUGCUGUCAGCUAGCAGGCUCACAUCAGAAUCACUGUUCCUGAAAAACACAGUCUGUGUGACAUCAUCAGUCAGCUGAUCGUCCCAGAUCUGAAUGGUUUCUGUCUCUACUGAGGAAGUCAGAGAAUAUCACUGAGGUGUGGAUCAGGUCUGAGUGACCUGUGGAGGGACAGCUUUAAACAGUCCACAGGUCUCACGUCCUGCUCAGUCUGGUAGCAGAUACCUCGUAUUGUUCCAGAUGUGCUGACAUCACCAGCAGCAGCAGCAGCACAGCUGUGUGAUACGAUGAAUCUCAGUUAUUGAUCCAACACACAGUAAAUACAAAGAUCAGGAUUUAUGAGAGUAAUCAUUAUGAGUCUGAACACAUGAUCACUGAAUGUGAGUCUCCACAAUAAUAAGCUAACACAAGCAAACACAGCUUUCAGCUCUUAUUUUGAAACUUAUUUAGAGAGCUGUGAUGUGAGCGUGCCUGGCUCUGAGGCACUUGGGUCAGCCUCUGUUGUUUAGAAGUGUUACAGACUGUGAAUGACACAGACCUGUCAGUUUUCAUGUUUGUCUGUAGCACAGCUCAGGGGCUCCAUGCUGAACGCAUCCAUCCAGUGUUAUUGAUCCAGCACUAAUACCAGCAUUGGAUCAAUACUACAAUACACAAUCACAUGUGUCCACGUGAUGGAUUUGACCAGCUUUAUUCAUUAAUGAUCAAUCAACUUAUUUACUGUAUCUGAGUCCAGCUUCAUUUAAAUGAUCCAACCAUGAAAAUGACAUCAGUCCUACAGAAGCACUUAAUGCUAACAGGAAGUCAUUUAUUAAGGUGGAAUAACACAGAGACACACAACCACUCACAGUUAACCUGACCCCACUAACUGCAUGUGUUUAGACUGUGGGGGGAGUGAUUUUGAAGAUCAUGCAGAAAUGUGCGCGCCCUUAUCUGAGGGGACAUGGAGAGAGUGUCGCAGACUCGAGGUGAGAAGAUAAACCUCGGAGCUGGAUGGCCUGCACGUUACCUAUGUGCAUCUUUUCAAUGACAUCAAGUGAGCCCAUAAUAAGCAUUUCUAUGACAUCAUAUCCAUUUCUAAUGAGAGAUUAUUUUUUAAAUGAGGGAAACCUGGUCUAACAACACGCUAACAACAGAGCUAAAGGUUCAUCACAUGUGAGACGGUGGGACUCUGAUAAGAACUGAAACACUGUGUCUAAACAGCUGAGACAAAACUAUAUAUAAACACUCAUUUAUUCCAGUUUAGUUUACAAUGAUUUUUAAAGUAAUGUGGAAUGAUUCAUGUUCAUGAGCUGUUACAAACACAACUAUUUAUUUGUCUUUCAUAUGGUUGGACUACAAGGCUUGUGUUGAGGGUCUUGGAAUAAUGUGUGAACAACAGCAAGAAAUGAUCGUUUUCCCAUUUUACCAAAGUGGAAUAACAUCACCACAGCAACAAAUAAUGUUAUUGUCUGCAGCUAAAAUAUAUAGUGAACAUGGUUUUAUAAUAAUGUGCAAACACAACCUCACUCUGCUAUAUACGAGGAGCCAACCACAGCUGUCCGGGUCUUCAUCCACGACCUCCGCCAUCAUUUCUUUGCUCACCAUCAUUCACUUAAUUGCUUAGAUUGGUUUAAAUCAAACUCCAUUACAGGUUCAACUCCAUUAUAUAAAUAAAGAAGUGGAAGAGUUAAAGAGCUGCAGCAGAUUAACAGUUUCUGACAGCCAUGUGUUAAGAAAUAGGACGAUUAGAUGAGCUGAGGGAUCCAUCUACUGCUCAAUGAAGCCUCAUCAGAAACAGUCUCAGUGGAAGGAUGGCUCUAUUCUUAAGGAAGGACACAGGCAGAAAGACUGGCGUCUGUCACAUUACACAGGAACUGGACUGAAAAUCAGCUGCAAAUAUUCAUCAGUAUGUGCAAACAUAUUAUAGGUAUGGAAUUCAGGAAAGUACCAUCAGAAGUUGAUCCACUGUGCAAAUGUCUGAUUGGCAGUGGCUUCAUUUUUCACUAUGAACAAACUGCUAAUGCAGUAUGCAGCAUCACAGGACUUCAGGCAUGGAUUGGCCUCCCCAGACCUCAACAUUACUGAAACAUCUUAACAGAGGAUGGAAACAAAGGGAACCAACAUCCAAGAAAAGAGCUGCUCCUGAAUACUUCCUCACAGAAAACACAAAAAAGCUUGACUAAGAGACGUCAGGCUGUGCUGAAUAAUAAAGGUGGACUGACUUCCAGGGUCCUUAGUAUCAUAUAAGCUCAGUUUUUGUCUUAUAUACUGUAUUUCAUUUAUAUAACAAAAUAUAUAGAAAGGAGGGUGGUUUAAGAUGUCUGUAGAGAUUUAUUCAUUAUCUUUAAACCAACAAAGAAAGCACCAUCCAGUCGUCUCCAGUCUGUAUGAAAAACAGGGGAAAGGUCAAAUUAAACCUUUGAAAUUUCUUUCACAAUAAAUCCAAUCAUGACCAAAAUCAAAAAAAGUGUUUAAACACACUUUUCCAUAAAGCUGUCAAUUGGAAAUGUUCCAGUAAACAUGUCUUGUGUUUCUGCUGUUUUCCUUUCAUGUGUCCACAGCUGACAGGUAACCCUAUUGGAGUCGCCAUAGUGACCCGUGGCGUCUCAGCUUCAGUGUGUUGAUGGGCACAGCCAUGGUUACCACAGCUGGAGUUGGUACACGCCGAGCUGUGAGAGGACAGAGAUGGAGAACGGACAUUUAACUAUUUAACAGGAGAUACGUUACGACUAACAGACGACUGCUGUUUAAAUGAUGUCUUUGCAGCCUUCAUGCUACAUGUUACACAACUUUUCUUCAUGCCAACAAGACUGAGGUGCCACAUAGUUGACACAUACAACUGAUUAUGAUGCAUAUUUUACUAUUGCUAUGUUCACAUCAUCUCCUUGGCUUUAUUAUUGAAAGCCUUGAGAUACUCUGACUUGUGCAUGGCUGAUGUGAAGUAUGAUUAGUACUACAUGACUUACACCAUCAACAACAGAGGCAAUGAAAGCUUUGUUUUUAACAGGUUGUAGGUAAAGUCAAAUUUCUAACUCUACACUUGUGUUGGGUAAAGUUCUUCUCACUGCAGCAGAUUUAUAUCUGUGGUUUCACAGGGCGUGAUGUGGACCUCAGCGCUGAGGUGCAGUUCUCCUUGGAGACGGCAUCCUGGCUGAAAUAUUAUCAUGCUUCCAAAACACUUUCAGCUUUUAUUUUGAAAGAAACAAAACUUGAAAACUAAUCCCCUUCUUCCUCUUUUUAUUUGUUCUUCAGAGGAGUGUCACCUGGACAAACUCAGGGCUAUUCUAGGGCCUUUGCUAUUAUUUGACUCCAUAUAAAUAAAACUGAUUUGAAUCAAACCAUUUGCUGGCAAACAAAAACUCCCAAACAGCUAAAAUACUUCGCUUUAUUCUCUUUUUUAACAAAUACGUUGAAGUACAUCCAUAACAACACAGCUGAGAUCUCCUUUUUAAUCAAGUGUUUACAUCCUUUGUACAGAUCUGUAUACAAAACAAUCAUUUACGUCCCAUAGAAGUCUAGUUACACGUAACUAUACAAGAACUCGUAAAUGAAAUAAACAUAAAACACAUAAUCACAGGUGAUAACAAAAAAAGAGAAAGAAUUCACGUGUUAGGGAUGUUUUUGCAGCGCUAAUGGCUCAUGUUGGAGAAAAAAACUGAGGCUGGAGUAUCUCAGUGACUUGGUUGAGGUGAAGUAUGACGAGUAUCCCUGAUUCAUUCCAUCGAGACAAAGGGGAAAGAAAGCUGUUGUUAACAAACUCUAUGGUGUGGACCUCAGCGCUGAGGUGCAGGAGAGUUUCAGUCAGUUCUCCCUGCAAACCAGCAUCCAGCCUGAAAAUACUGUCAUCUUUCCCAGAAAUGGUCGUCUUAUCUCAGAGAAGAAGUUUGAUGUAAAAUAACUGCAAUCAACAGUGAUAUUAUGCACAGAUCACUUUUCCAUUUUGCUCUCUAGAUGAGUCCCAGCUGCCUGACCUUGUGUCCAGGUGAUCGUCUCACUGAGGAGCUGUUGUUCUGAAAAUCUCACGUCCAUGACCUGUUUCCUUUUUACUAUCUCUGCUCUGUCUUUAUUAACAAUGCUCAUAAUAUCACAAAAUUAUAUUCAUCACUUGCCUGCUUUUAUCCACCUGCUGUUAGAACCAAACAAAUAAAAAGGAGGAAAUGCCUAAAAUCCUUUGAUUUAUUACAUUUUGAAACAAAUAUGAGUACAUCCCUAACAGCACAGCUGAGACCUUUGUUUUAAUCAAGCCUUUGUAUCUACACACUUUGUAAAGAUUCAAAUACAAAACAUAAUAGAAUUAAAUAAAUAUAAAAUACACAUAAUCACAGAAGAUGACCAAAACAAUGCACCCAUGUUGUGAAUUUGCAUCUAAAACAUGCAUGUUUCCCUUUGUACAGGCAGAUUUACAGCAGACAAACAACACGGUGACAGACUUUGACCGCUGCAAAAACAAAGUACCCACCAAGUCUGAAGCAGAUCAGAGGAACUGUUGAGCAGACAGACUGACAGACAAACAUACAGAUGCUUGAUUCAUCAGUGCGAUAAAGUGUUCUUCUUUAACAGCAUCACUUCAUGUGUUUGUUUUCCAGGAAUAAAGGUCUAUUUAAACUGGACAUCUCCUCAGCAUCACCAGUGGUGUCAUGGUUUCAAAGCUGUGCAGUAGAGCAAAGAAUCUGAGGGAUGAUACAGAGAUGACCAAAGUUACAGACAAAUCCAGCUGUGCUGGAAAUGUUUGCAGAGCUCCAAACUCUUUGGCUUUCUGUAGAGCAAGUAUGGAAGAAGCACCUGAGCUAACUUACAUUUAGAUGAUAUGAGGAAAAAUGCCGCUUCCCAAAGUUUCCUACAAGUAUCCAGUUUAUAUUUAGAGAAGCAAAGGCUCUUUAUCCUGACAACUACUCCCUGGUGGAUCCCUGUCCUGUGACAGUAGCAAAGAAUGUGUAUCAGUAUUAUCAAAGCCACUUCAAUAACCAGUUUUUAAAGCUAUCUAGCAGAUGGACUUAAGUGCCAGUAGCCUCUGUCUGCUGUGUACAGAAGGUUCUAUGAUGAAGCACAGAUGCUGCACUACAACAGUAGCAGCAGGUCAGCUUCAGUUUGGUUCAACGCCCCUUUUUGACCUAUGAAACAGCAGAAAAUGAAACAUUUCAAC